Mus pahari (shrew mouse) is the source of this 142-nucleotide small nucleolar RNA. RefSeq annotates it as small nucleolar RNA SNORA48. NCBI's taxonomy places the organism in Eukaryota, Metazoa, Chordata, Mammalia, Rodentia, Muridae. The transcript has a single exon. The record is from RefSeq and is a predicted model, not a curated record.
AUCCCCUGGCAAUGGGUAAAAGAACACCUUCUUAGUGGUGGUGUUCUUACUUCACUCGGGACAAGCAGGAGGCAGUCCUUUGCUCAUCCUAGCUUGAUACCUGGCAUGGUGGUCAAAGUUGUUUUAUGCCUAGGACAUACAA